GAGCAUGCUGGACACCCGGAAGCAGCUCUUCGAGGAGCUUCUGUGGGAGCACCGGGAGCUCUCUGAGGCCCACAGCCAUUGCCAAGCUCUUCCGGAAGCUUCCGUCGAGGUCCUCAAUGCUCAGCUCUCCGCGCUAAAAGCUGAAAAGGAGCAGCUUGCCUCGGAGCACCGGAAAGCUCU
Molecule: long non-coding RNA, 180 nt
Organism: Lolium rigidum
Lineage: Eukaryota; Viridiplantae; Streptophyta; Magnoliopsida; Poales; Poaceae
Exons: 3
Source: RefSeq, a predicted model, not a curated record